UAAUAUUGAAUCCUACCAUCUUUAAUGGUAAACAUCUGUGGAUGAGAAUAUUGAAUCCUACCAUCUUAAAUGGUUUACUAGACAUCUGUGGAUAAGAAUAUUGAAUCCUAUUAUCUUUAAUAGUUAACAUCUGUGGAUGAGAAUAUUGAAUCCUACCAUCUUUAAUGGUUACUUGACAUCUCUUGAGGAGAAAAGCUGUUGUGUUGGCUACUUAAUAUCCUCCUCCCAAAACGUACCCCUGGGAACCAGUGAACUCAGCUCCUUCUGCUCCUUGACCAUUUCACCUGGAAGAGUUUAACCCACAAACUGGAGUUAAACAAAAUGACAUCAGUUUUGGCUUGACCCUCUCUUCCUUGUCAGAAAGAUAGUAAUAAUGACCUGGCACAGUCUGUUCUCCAGAAAAAGUGCAAAGCCCAUGUCAGUUCUUUCUUAAGAUGCCGAGCAGCAAGGCUCACCUUCCAGCUGUUGCGCCUGAGCGUGUGAAAUAGGACUUCUGCAAAGGUAACUCCCUUCUGGAACACCUGAGAGGUGGUCAACUUACUGUGGGUGCCUAGUAUACAAGAUGAAGCUUGGCGGGCAGUGUUCCCUAAAUCUGGAAAAAGAACUGGUCUGUUAUCUGAUCAAACUUUGUGUUCACUUGUAGAAACAAAACAAAUGGUCUCUGAGAAAAUGUCUCUGUAUUCGAUUGUUAUCUGGCUUCACUUCAAACACAUGUUCAACUUAUUCAUAAUCAAUGUUUUCAAGCUACAUGAUAACAAACAACUCUAUUCAUUAAAUAUAAACACACAGUCAUUGCAAAACUAUAUAAAUAUAUAUAAUAAUAGCAAUGUCUUUGAUUCCGAGGAUUAAGGAUGAGUGUAGUGUUUCAUAUGAUAAUUAUGAUUAUGCAAAUCCAUUUGCUACCUGCAUAUUUCUCCUUAUUUUGUGCUUCUUUUUAUAUAAAUAAUUCAUAUCAAUAGUUCAUUUAUAUGUUAAUUGAUUAAAAAAUAAAAACAUGUCAUUGUAAAAAUUGAUUUUGUUAAACUCAAAUAGUUCUGUGGGAAUUGUCACUAUGCUCUGUUUGAAAUGUUCUGAAUACAAAAUGAUGUGCUAAGCUGUGCUACUGAGACGAAGGUCCUGU
Non-coding RNA from Biomphalaria pfeifferi, 1120 nucleotides. NCBI's taxonomy places the organism in Eukaryota, Metazoa, Mollusca, Gastropoda, Planorbidae. The record is from the annotation of a GenBank genome assembly.